UCCAGCCAUAGCCUGAGCUAAAAGAGUAGCC
This 31-nucleotide non-coding RNA is filed under the name Homo sapiens (human). Lineage: Eukaryota; Metazoa; Chordata; Mammalia; Primates; Hominidae. The record is from RNAcentral.